UAAAAACAUGUCCUUGUUUGGGUUGCAUUCCUUCAAUACUAGCAAGAUUUAGGUCUUGGUAGCUCAUUGCCCCCCAGGUGAGGGAUGUGCAGAUGUUUGACACGAAGAUGCCUGGCCUCUGGGGAGUGAAGACUGAUGGAAACUCUUGGCCCAUUGAUGGCAUGGCCAAAUGCAAGAACCCCAUUCUGAACACUUGUGAACAUUUGUGAAAAAUCAGACUGGGCAUGACCUUGUCUGCCUGAAAGACCCUCCUCUUUGCAUAGGAUUUCUGCUAACAGGAGAUAAUGGCAGCUUCUCCUAGGGAAAACAGUGAAGGGUACUUCAGAAACACAACAGCUAUUGAAUGUUAUUUUCUGAUUAGUGCAGUUAAAUAAUGAGAAGGACUCGUAGCAGUAUUACCAUUUCCACUUGUCACUCAAAAUCAUGGCAGUAUUAUUGCAAAAGAGAAGUUCCCGCUGCAUUAGCAACUCGUAUUUCUGACGCAGGAAGAGGAGUUAAACCACCAUGCGCACAAAGUCUUUCUGCCUCUGCCCCAGCAUAUUGGACUUAAUAAUGCAGGGUGGAAGAGCUGUCUGAAGAGGAAGUCACAGUUCAGCACAGUUUAUUUCUGUUCUUUGUACUAAUUACAUUUAUUUAAUUUUGCUUUCUCUUACCUCCUUUGCUCUAUUCACUUCUUUCUCUUAUAUGCUAGGAGUAGAGCAACCUCUCCCUUUUUAAACCUCUGUAGAGUGCCUACUGCCAUGGAGAUAACAUUAGGCUUUUAUGUUAAGGUUAAGCUAUGUCUUUUCUGAAAUUUGAGAGUUCGGCAAGGUGACAUGAUCAGUACCAGAGUAGCAUUGACUCUGCUUCAGUUUAUGCCCAUGACCCUUUGUCCU
RNAcentral lists this long non-coding RNA (875 nucleotides) under Anser brachyrhynchus (Pink-footed goose). RNAcentral describes it as "lncRNA (ENSABRG00000005554.1)". Lineage: Eukaryota; Metazoa; Chordata; Aves; Anseriformes; Anatidae. The record is from RNAcentral.